Molecule: non-coding RNA, 72 nt
Organism: Podarcis lilfordi (Lilford's wall lizard)
Lineage: Eukaryota; Metazoa; Chordata; Lepidosauria; Squamata; Lacertidae
Source: the annotation of a GenBank genome assembly
AGAGCUGUGGCACGCUGGCAGAGCACCUGCUUUGAGUGCAGAAGGUCCCAGGUUCAAUCCCUGGUAGGCCUG